This 1228-nucleotide long non-coding RNA is filed under the name Homo sapiens (human). Its description in RNAcentral is "HSALNT0303047". The record is from RNAcentral. Lineage: Eukaryota; Metazoa; Chordata; Mammalia; Primates; Hominidae.
GUUGCUUCUCACCAUCUACUCAUUCCCCUCAAUCCCACGCAGUCCCGAAAAGCAUCCAUAUUACCUGAAACCUGGCGGGGAGGAUGGAAGGAGAGAGAGCCAACAAGCUCAGGAUUUACAAGUAAAGCUGGUUUCUACCCCGAAGAUCCUGACAGCUCCGCAGAGUGCGGGCGCAGGGUCUGACAGUGCCCUCUAGAAGGGCUCUCCCACCCCAUCCCCUCCCCUUAGAGACAAGUCCUCCUUCAAAAGUCACUGCCUCCGAGAGAAGAUACCCCUUCACACCGCCCCAGGCCCCUCGGCAGGCUUCCUCAGCACCCGCCCCGCAGUCAGGCCCUCUAACCUGACCCGGUCCAGGCCCGGGCGGCUCACCCCUCCGGCCCGACCCCUCCCCCGCGCGGCCGCCCCUCCGCGUCAGACAAUGGGGCCCGACUCCCGGCCGCCAGCCUCUCCUGACCCAUCACCCUCGCCUCACCCCAGCCGAUGCCCCGACUUCUGCCCCAACCCUCCUCGACCCCUUUAAGAUCCCCCAAGCUGGCCCACGGACCCAGCCGACCGGUGCUCUCCUGAACUCACUAUUCGGGAUUCAUGCUGGACAUGUCACUGCAGCUGCCGCCGCCGCCACCGCCGCCCUUGCUGCCGCAGCCGCCGCCCUGACUCUCCGCGCCACGGCCCAUUUGCACACACAGUCGGAUGUAUCUUUCUGAGACAGCACCUGCAUCGUGACCCCACAACCUUCAAUGGCUCCACAUCCCAUGGAUGGGAGGGACACAGCCCAGAGCCAGCCUAAAAUCCAAUUCCUACCUUCGUCCCGGCCUUCAGGUUGAAUUGUAAUGUAUUAUCUUUUAGUUGCUACUAACCCUGAGCCAUUCUGCAAGACUGGAAAAUAAUAAGCAAUAAAAAUAGGCAAUUCAUCACUAUAUAGUGCCUACAAUUUCUGGGAGUAAUAUUAACUCAUUUUUAAAAAACCUAUGGCCUUAACAGCUCUCUUUAAUCAGCUCAGGAAUUUAAAUCUCCGCUAAACUUUAACACAUUAUCUUGAGUUAUUUAAUUACAAAGGGCAUAGUGUAAUACAUUGUCCAAAGUUUAUCUUCCAACUUCUAAGAACUAAGAAAAUUGUCUCCUGAGACUUACUGCAGAAUCACUUUAAAUUCCUACAACGCCAAAAUAUAGAAAGAAGGCACUUAUUUCUACCCAUACACUAAUUACACCCCUUAGCCCUCAAAUUCUG